This 69-nucleotide transfer RNA is filed under the name Helice tridens. RNAcentral's name for it is "tRNA-Thr". The record is from RNAcentral. RNAcentral also lists the same sequence under 2 other names. Lineage: Eukaryota; Metazoa; Arthropoda; Malacostraca; Decapoda; Varunidae.
GUUUUUAUAGUUUAAAUCAUCCUAAAACUUUGGUCUUGUAAACCAAUAAUGAAUAAUUUUCUAAAAACU